UAGAAACUGGACGUCUCAGUUUACGACGCUUGUCAUUCACAGUGGUCUUCCGAAUUCUGUUCCCUUAGAGGAUCCGAAGAAUCCGAUCAUACAACCAUGAAGUUCUCUACAUUAACAAACGUUUUAAUUCCGCUAAUUCUCUUCUUGGUAUCAUCGUCUGAAGCCAUGCAUAUCUUCCAUGGACUCUUUGGUGGUGGAAGAGGACGAAGUUCAGUUUCUGAAAUCCUCGUGGCUGGACUCAUAGCUAAACUACUAUCAGAAGAACACCAUUCAAAAUGCAGUUGGUGAUUAUUGUCUUCCCUAUGAGCAUUAUGAUUUGUCUCUUAAGAAUACCGGACAAAAUGGUCCCAAUUCAUCUUCAGUCUUUGUCAAUGAUUCCAGGACGUUCUCUCGUAAGUUCUUGACAUCAAGUAUCUGCGUGAGUGCGGCGGAUCAUAUGUUAUACAUUUGUAUGUCAUCCUGAUAAGUAUAUUUCCAUUGGAUUUUUAUGAUUUUUCAAACGUUGAUUUGGGGUAAUAUUCAUAUUUUUAUGUUGAUCCGCGACAUUUCAACUUCAAAAAUAUCCAGUAAUUGAGCAAAAUUUUUGCUGUGCCUUUGUCGUACGAAAGAAAGUAAAAUUGCUCAAAAUAUGAACUGCAGUUUCAUUUAAAUAUGAAUAUUAUGAAGUAUCAUUAUUAUAUUUAUGAAGUAUCAUGGACUGAUUAAAAUCGUUAAUCAUCUAUAUCAUCAUUUUAAAUAUUUCAGCAACGGUGAAGUAGUAGUUAUUUUACCGGGCAGUAGAAAUAAAUAAACUGUUGCAUUAACUAACAGAAAUAAUAAUAACUAACAGUUAAUAAUUUCUAAUAGUUAACAGCUUACUCCUGAAAUAUUAAGCUGCCACAAUUGAUGCAGAUCUUUGAUUAAUAUUUAACUGGUUAUAAGAAUAAUAACUGUUAAAUAUUGAAAUGCAAGUUAAUAUCUCAUUGGUACCAAUUAUGAGGUUGUAAUUAUCGUUGUUUUCCUUAAAAAACAAUUAAAAACGAACCCAUCGUAUCCUAGCAGCCUAAAUUCUGUGUCAAGAUUAUUUGUCGCUAACAUUUUACAUUUUACAUUACAAUAGAAAAUAUAUUUGUGCAUACCUCGAGAUAUGAUAUUUACUUUAUUUAUGUAUUUAUUUAUGUAUUUUUAAUACACUUUCAACAUAUCAGCUUCACAUAUCCGUUUUAAAUGCAGAUUUAUGUUUACAUAUUAAAAGGUAUUGCCUUAUGCGAGGUCAUCUUAAUUUCUUACCGUUUCAGUGAUAUGUAUAAUACAAAAUUUUGCUUAAUAAAUUCUUGACACAAAGAAGGUUGUUGUAUUACAGAGACAUUUUGAAUUACUUCUAGAAGAAAAUAUUGGGUGAUAGAACAUUAUUUGUGGAAACUAGAAAUUCUCAUGCAAUGCCAGUGCUACAGAAAAUUCAUAGCAUGAAAACUUUUCUACAUCUUAUGAUUAUUUCAAAUAUAAAGAUUAUGCCAAAUUACAAGCUUUGAGAUAAGAUAUAAGGUGUUUUAAAAAUAUUAAUAUGUUAAUAUGAAAAGCAUUUUACGUGCUUAUAUAUUUUCAAAAAUACUUGACAUCCUAAUUAACACUAACGCCUAAAUAGUUUAAUUUAUAUUUCUGUCAAAAUGAAUUCGUAAAAUUCGUAAAUAAAUUCAUCCUCAGUUUUUUUUAAAUCAACUAUUCUAUUAAAAUUUCUUAAGGUAUCGAGAAGUGCUUAAAAUUAGUGUAUUGAUAACAAAAAUCUAGCUGAGGCUUUGAAAUGUUAAUUUGUACAUUAAUAAAUGUGUGUAUAAUUUUUGUGAUAUUGGCGUAUCAACAUCAGCUUGUCUGUUGCCAUCAAUAAAUGUACUUUAUAAAAA
Molecule: long non-coding RNA, 1880 nt
Organism: Stegodyphus dumicola
Lineage: Eukaryota; Metazoa; Arthropoda; Arachnida; Araneae; Eresidae
Source: RefSeq, a predicted model, not a curated record